GCUUCUGGAACAGCCGGAAACCUUGUCAACUGUCCAGGUAGUUUGUCCACCUGAAGUCUCACCUAUGACUUCUCUGGAUCCUUUGGCAUCCUAGCACUGAAAUCUGCAAAGCUGCUUAUGUACUUUCUGUAAGGUGAAAAUUACGGAUGCAGCACCUGUGAUUAAGUCAUGAUGGCUGGAAGUAAAUCUUGGUGAAUAUUUCUAAAUGUUUUCCACAUUUCCCAUACAGAGGUUUGAUAAUUUGUUCACCUAGUUUCCAUUUUAUAAUUGAGGUUGGCAGUGGAGACCAAGACUCGAUGUGGUGUGGGUCAAUUUGGAAGAAUUACUUCGAAGAAAAUGAGAAAGAAACACUCAAAUGAAAUCCCUUUUGAGGAAGGAGAUACUCUUUUCCUUAAAAAAAAAAAAAUCAACAUUUGUAUCAAUAAAGGUUGAGAUCAGAAAAUGUUUCCCGUUCAAUGAGAAAGAUUUGGACUGUGAUGAAGAUAAACUAAAAAGAAAAGAGUUUGACCAACUGGCAAGGGUUUGACCCCUUUCCCCUUUAAAAAAAUCACACUAAAACUACAGCUUAUGUUUCGCAUGAGUGGAUGCUCUGAAUUGCAAUGCAAAGUGCUUAUGAAAACUUAAGAUCUUACAUUACUACUUCAAAGAGUACAUGUGAUAGGAAUUCCUAUAGAAGAAAAUGAAAAAGGAUAUAGCUUGAAAAUCCAAAUUUAUAGCAAAUUCUGCAUCUAUCAUUUGGCGAUGCUAUGACUGGAUGCUAUCACUAUUUGGAAGUAUCAAAAAUAUUACAAAGGAAAAUUAAGCUUCAUUUUACUCUAUCUUCUUAUAAAGUGAGGCCCACAUCCUGGUGAUGACUAUUUCCUUAAUGAGACUAUGGGAUUUUAUCAAACUCCAUAAAACAUGAUUGCAUUUCCUUCACUCUGAAAUCACCUUAUUUUAAUUUCCACAUGAAAUUGGGAUGCAAUUUGUGUGUACAUUUAAUAUGCGAGGGUUCCUUCUCCACCUCUCACUCACUCCUCCCCAAAAAAGCUUUGGCCAAAUCUACAGCAUGUUUUACAAUGGACAGAGUCUUAGGAUUGAGGCAAGUACAAUCAAGAGGAGUCAGGGGCUAAGAUAAACAAAAGAACAUGAAAACAGUGAUGGUGAUGCCUCAUGUGAUUAGCUCUAUGGUCCCUUCCUCUUCUCAGAGUGACAGGCAGAAAAAUCGACAGUUAAUUCCAGAUCCAUCAGGGGCUGUGCUGCCUUUCUACAGAAAUGAUGAGUUUAGAGAGCAAGCUGCAGAUGAGUGUCUGAGCACUCGCGGGAGGUGCCGAGUGUCAUGGCAGAAGUUCGUGUGGCAUCGCUGUCUGCUGCGUCCAAGAGAUGAUAGGGUCCUUCCAGAAGAGGAACAGCAGGGUAGCGCAGAAAUGGAAGGAAGACCACUCUUCCCAGUUUCUGGCCAAUGGGAUGAGGGAAGAAGUGAUGGGCAUCAGUUACAGAACUCAUUCACACCUUCAAUGGUUUUGGAAGCCACAUGCUCCAGAUGGCAGAGCUACCCUGGAAAGAAGGUUGCAUCUGAGUCACCACGUGGAGAUCAACUUUGUACAUGUGAAACAUAAAUGUUUACUGUGUUGGGCCACU
Long non-coding RNA from Homo sapiens (human), 1620 nucleotides. Lineage: Eukaryota; Metazoa; Chordata; Mammalia; Primates; Hominidae. The record is from Ensembl.